CAGGCCUAACACAUGCAAGUCGAACGCCCUCUUCGGAGGGAGUGGCAGACGGGUGAGUAACACGUGGGAAUCUACCUAUCUCUGCGGAACAACACAUAGAAAUGUGUGCUAAUACCGCAUACGCCCUUCGGGGGAAAGAUUUAUCGGAGAUAGAUGAGCCCGCGCUUGAUUAGCUAGUUGGUGAGGUAAUGGCUCACCAAGGCGACGAUCAAUAGCUGGUCUGAGAGGAUGAUCAGCCACACUGGGACUGAGACACGGCCCAGACUCCUACGGGAGGCAGCAGUGGGGAAUAUUGGACAAUGGGCGCAAGCCUGAUCCAGCCAUGCCGCGUGAGUGAUGAAGGCCCUAGGGUUGUAAAGCUCUUUCAACGGUGAAGAUAAUGACGGUAACCGUAGAAGAAGCCCCGGCUAACUUCGUGCCAGCAGCCGCGGUAAUACGAAGGGGGCUAGCGUUGUUCGGAAUAACUGGGCGUAAAGCGCACGUAGGCGGAUUGGAAAGUUAGAGGUGAAAUCCCAGGGCUCAACCCUGGAACUGCCUUUAAAACUAUCAGUCUAGAGGUCGAGAGAGGUGAGUGGAAUUCCGAGUGUAGAGGUGAAAUUCGUAGAUAUUCGGAGGAACACCAGUGGCGAAGGCGGCUCACUGGCUCGAU
This 649-nucleotide ribosomal RNA is filed under the name uncultured bacterium. RNAcentral's name for it is "bacterial SSU rRNA". It matches the Rfam family "Bacterial small subunit ribosomal RNA", at positions 43 to 738 of the family's 1533-position model. The record is from RNAcentral.